GAUGGCCCAGUCAUAAGACUUCUAACAUUUAUCCCAUUAGUUUGGCACAUCAUCUUCAGGUAAUAUUUCAGCAAUUUUGUAACAUUAUGGAUAGAGAUCUAAGUCUCAUUCAUCUUUGUUGAAGUCGCUCUGUAGCAGACACGGAUUGCAUUGAAUGACUCUGUGUAUAAUAAACGCUUGUUUGACGCUACCUAAAAUAAAGUUGACGUUCUGUACAAAUAUACUUAACUUUAAUUUUUUUCAACAGAUAACCUUCAACUUAAAUGAUGUCCCGGUUACUGUGCAGGAAAAGUCCUGCGGGGAAGGCCCUCAGUACUUUACCAAACAGCACACUACAGGACCAUGGGCUUUAAAAGUGUGCCUGUUGCUUUAUCCUGUACCAGUACACGGCCAAGCACGCAGGAGUGUAGACGGGUGUGCUGGGGUCCUCCUCAGCUGA
This 439-nucleotide long non-coding RNA is filed under the name Neogobius melanostomus (round goby). Its description in RNAcentral is "lncRNA (ENSNMLG00000007063.1)". The record is from RNAcentral. Lineage: Eukaryota; Metazoa; Chordata; Actinopteri; Gobiiformes; Gobiidae.